This 416-nucleotide long non-coding RNA is filed under the name Felis catus (domestic cat). Its description in RNAcentral is "lncRNA (ENSFCAG00000051004.1)". The record is from RNAcentral. Lineage: Eukaryota; Metazoa; Chordata; Mammalia; Carnivora; Felidae.
GGCUGAUGUUCCGGUUGCCCCGGCAACAUGGCCGAAGAAACAGAAAAAGUGAGAAGGUGUCUGCCAGGCUAGGGGAGUCUGCCGGGACACUACUCAUGAGUUCCUGGAAGAAGUACAGAUCCCAGGUCCUGGUGGCCAAAUGCUGGGGGGGAAACUAUGUUGUGGUGAACGAGGCAAAAACCAAACUAAACCAAGGCGAUGCCAAAGCCGUAUGUGAUGCCAAGGGUUAUUACCCAAUGAUGAGGGCUAUCCUGAAAUGCCUACUCAAGGAGUUCAUGUUUGCAACCAACUGGUUCAUCUGGCAGAAAGGGUACUUACGUGUUGCCAGGAUGGAGGCUGAGCUCUGUGACCUCUCCCCUAGGAGGGAUGGCAAGGACUGCUGGUUUCUGGUUCUGCAUGUGCAAGUAAAAAGCUGA